GACUCUUAGUGCUGGAUCACUCAGCUCUUGUGUCAAUGAAGAACGCAGCUAGCUAUGAGAAUUAAUGUGAAUCGCAGGACACAUUGAUCAUGGACACUUUGAACGCACUUGCGGCCCUGGGUUCCUCCUGGGACUAUGCCUGUCUGAGCAUUG
Capra hircus (goat) is the source of this 153-nucleotide ribosomal RNA. It matches the Rfam family "5.8S ribosomal RNA". Rfam says of the family: 5.8S ribosomal RNA (5.8S rRNA) is a component of the large subunit of the eukaryotic ribosome. It is transcribed by RNA polymerase I as part of the 45S precursor that also contains 18S and 28S rRNA. Functionally, it is thought that 5.8S rRNA may be involved in ribosome translocation. The record is from Ensembl. Lineage: Eukaryota; Metazoa; Chordata; Mammalia; Artiodactyla; Bovidae.